This is a long non-coding RNA of Myripristis murdjan (pinecone soldierfish), 86 nucleotides long. RefSeq lists it as uncharacterized. The record is from RefSeq and is a predicted model, not a curated record. NCBI's taxonomy places the organism in Eukaryota, Metazoa, Chordata, Actinopteri, Holocentriformes, Holocentridae. The transcript has 3 exons.
AAACAGCCUCUGACCGACUGACCAAUCAGACUUCUGAUUGGUCAGUCGGUCAGAAGCUGUUUGCUACAGUCUCACUCUCUCUCUCU